Molecule: transfer RNA, 69 nt
Filed under: Athalia birmanica
Lineage: Eukaryota; Metazoa; Arthropoda; Insecta; Hymenoptera; Athaliidae
Description: tRNA-Asp
Source: RNAcentral
AAAGAAUUAGUUUUAAUAAAAACAUUUAUAUGUCAUAUAAAAAAUAUUAUUUAUAAUUAAUACUCUUUA